UGUUGCAGUCGACAGGAGAAAGAAGCAGAGAAUGGGGGUGAUGGUUCGAGGAGAGGGAUUUGGUUCCCUGCAAAGUCUCCACGAACAGAGCUCUUGCACCGUUUGUGCGAUGGCUUUCACAAGGCAUGCAUAGAGCAGCAGUACCACCAUCUCGACCUCAUAGACCUGCUGCGAGAGCUGAUAAUGAUCCCGCAGCUGCUAUGCCAAUAAAUGAAGAUGCAGUUCCAGAGAGACAAGAGAAUCAAACUGAUAACUGGAAACGAGCAAAUGAAAAUGAAGAUGUCGAUGCAGAGAACCAAGGGAAUCAAUGGUGGAAAUUAGUGAAAGAGAUUCAAAUUAUAGUUUUUGGCUUCAUAAAUUGCACUUCUAUUGUAAUAUGUAUUAAUAUUUGUAUUAUGUUUUGUAUGUUUGAAAAUUAAUUAA
Molecule: non-coding RNA, 423 nt
Organism: Camelina sativa (false flax)
Lineage: Eukaryota; Viridiplantae; Streptophyta; Magnoliopsida; Brassicales; Brassicaceae
Source: RefSeq, a predicted model, not a curated record